This is a long non-coding RNA of Hemicordylus capensis (graceful crag lizard), 1294 nucleotides long. RefSeq lists it as uncharacterized. NCBI's taxonomy places the organism in Eukaryota, Metazoa, Chordata, Lepidosauria, Squamata, Cordylidae. The transcript is spliced from 2 exons. The record is from RefSeq and is a predicted model, not a curated record.
UCUACUUCUUCUGAGCACUUCCACCUGUUGUUAGUGUUUUAUCAAUCUUCUCUUACAAGGAGGCAAAGGUUCCUUUGUGUUCUGUUCUGCACUCCCUGCUUCUGAUGGCCCUACUUGUCCUGAAGCUUUGACCAGACCUGCCUCAGGUAUCUCCUGUUGGUUGACAGCUGGGCUCUGCCCUUCAGGUACUCCUGCAGCUGCUGGUGGACUACCAGCUUCCCCUUUCUCUUUGCUAUCUGAAGAGAACGGGGGCAUGAGGAUGGGGGCAUGACACAGAUGGAAACAAAACAGCUGGUCAACAAGGUCAAAUGACAGUACGGGAGAUAGCACAUGCCAAUGCCAGUUGAAUUGUCUCUGGAGUACCCAGUGGAGGAGACUACACACCAGGAGAAGGGGGAGCCCCAACUCUUCCUGGCAACAAGUCAGACCCUGCUGACUCACCUCGUGUCAGGUCUGGUCGAGCACCCCAUGGCAGGGGCCAGAAGGUCACCAAUGCAGAGCAAGCAGUCCACUUGAGGGACAAGAAGAAGGCUGAUAGAGAGCAGUUAGCCAGAGACAUGGUGGAUCAGACCCAAGCUGCCAGCUAAAGGUCCAUUAAAACCCAGCUAGAGCUAGAUAAACAUGAGGAGUGGAGAAGGGAAGCAGACUGGCAGUCCCACAUGCUGGUAACCCAGGAGGUUGCACAGGCACAGGUUGUGUGGCAGGCAAUGGCACGGGCCAAUGAGAUCACCUCCGCCAUACGUGAGUGCUCUGGUGAGGCACUGUUGCAUAAUGGAACUCCACACAGAUCAGGUCCAGAAACUGUUUCAAAUGGUCUCUGACUACAUUGCCCAGGCAGCCCAACCAGCCCCUCCACCCACACAGCACCCACUCUACCCCUUCCUGUACCUAACUCAUGGCACCAGCAACUCCCACAGUGCAGGGGAGGGUGACACCCAUAAUGCUGGCAGCCCCCAUUGCUGGUGCCAGAGGCAGGGGGCCAUGAGACAUGGGUGCUGGUUGAGGGCAACUUCAGGACAUGGAGCCUGCCAGUCCAGCAAAACAAACAAGAUCCCAUGUGUGUUAGGCACACACCUGGUAGCUGACCCACACAGAGAUCUAGCGUCAGCCUGGCUAUGCUCUUGCCACAGGGUACUGUAGUGCUCCUGUGCUAUUUAUAUGAUGGCAGCAAAGGUGUGGUUGCAGUACCUGUCUUCAUUUUUCCUUGUUGGCUGUGGUGAGCUGCUCUGUGCAAUACCUGUGUGUUUCCAUUAAUAAAAGCACCAUUGUGGAGCAAAGUGGUCUUGCCCCUCUA